GACGAACGCUGGCGGCGUGCCUAAUACAUGCAAGUCGAACGGAAAGGCCCUGCUUUUGUGGGGUGCUCGAGUGGCGAACGGGUGAGUAACACGUGAGUAACCUGCCCUUGACUUUGGGAUAACUUCAGGAAACUGGGGCUAAUACCGGAUAGGAGCUCCUGCUGCAUGGUGGGGGUUGGAAAGUUUCGGCGGUUGGGGAUGGACUCGCGGCUUAUCAGCUUGUUGGUGGGGUAGUGGCUUACCAAGGCUUUGACGGGUAGCCGGCCUGAGAGGGUGACCGGCCACAUUGGGACUGAGAUACGGCCCAGACUCCUACGGGAGGCAGCAGUGGGGAAUAUUGCACAAUGGGCGGAAGCCUGAUGCAGCAACGCCGCGUGCGGGAUGACGGCCUUCGGGUUGUAAACCGCUUUCGCCUGUGACGAAGCGUGAGUGACGGUAAUGGGUAAAGAAGCACCGGCUAACUACGUG
This 468-nucleotide ribosomal RNA is filed under the name uncultured bacterium. RNAcentral describes it as "partial 16S ribosomal RNA". It matches the Rfam family "Bacterial small subunit ribosomal RNA", at positions 28 to 507 of the family's 1533-position model. The record is from RNAcentral.